RNAcentral lists this long non-coding RNA (295 nucleotides) under Anas platyrhynchos platyrhynchos (common mallard). RNAcentral describes it as "lncRNA (ENSAPLG00000030401.1)". Lineage: Eukaryota; Metazoa; Chordata; Aves; Anseriformes; Anatidae. The record is from RNAcentral.
GGAAGAUAAGGUGCCUCCCUUCUCAGUGACUGCUGCAAAACUGAAACCCUAUCAUUUUUAUCCACAGCAUCAACUUGGAUGAUAAGCAUUUAGAGGAGAAAGGCACUAAUGAGUGACUGAGGGAAAAUCAAAACAUUUCCAUCUGAAACCAAGCAGAGCAGCUGGCCACACCAGUCCUGGACUAUCCAAGAAGCCCCAAGCCUUGGCAUUGAUCCAGGACUGUCAAUGCAGUCCAUUGAUCCAGGACUGUCAACACUCAGCGAGCAUCUCGGCCACCCCUGGCACUGCUCCCCAU